Molecule: long non-coding RNA, 1290 nt
Filed under: Homo sapiens (human)
Lineage: Eukaryota; Metazoa; Chordata; Mammalia; Primates; Hominidae
Description: HSALNT0025003
Source: RNAcentral
GAACUUUAGAGAUGUCUUUAAUUUCUUGUAAGCCCUGAAAUGAAUUAAAAAUUGUGGGUUUCGUUUUUGUUUUCUGUUUGUUGUUGUUGUUAGCCCAACAGCUCUCCACAGCAGAGUUUAUUCCACUAUACUGCUCUCCAAAUGUGUUCGGUUUGACUUACUUUUCAACCCGGGCCUCAACAAUGUAGGAACCUGAGUCCAUCAAUGGUGUCAGACUCCGCUCAGGUAGUACCCAUGCUCCCCAAAUCUUUCGUCUUCCUCUCCACCAAACACCGUCUUUCAAUGAGCAGAGGUGGUAUCCAGUGUGCACUGCCCCUUCGUCAAAUGUGUUGUCAUUUGACUCCGAAAGCUCAAUUUCCCCAGGUAAGGUGAGGCAGUCAUGUGCCUGGAAAGCCUGGAUUCUGGGGCUCAAUUCUGCCUCCUGUAAAGACGCCACUGUAAGCCCUGCCUGGUGCUGAGCCCGGCAGAGCAGGCCCUCAGACAUCAUGAACCUGUAUUCAAAUGGCCAUCUCUAAAGGUUAGUCAAUCAUGGCAUUUGUUCCAUGAACUAUGAUUUGACAUGUUCCAUCUGCAGGACAGUAACAAGAAAGUCAGUCAGUGGGAAACAAUAAUAAAAUCAGGUCUGAACUUGCAUAGGUGAAUAGUUAACUGGGGGACACCAAAGUGGGAACAUUCAGUAAGCGGCGGGGUAUAUAGUCAAGAGCUAGGUCUUGACUAGAAAUCCUAACUUGGGAAUUAUCAAUUUAGUUGAAGGCAUAGACAUAGAUAAGAAGAGAAGAGAACUGAAGUGAAACCCAGGGAACCACACACGUCUGAGGGUCAGGAGCAACGAGAGAAGCUCCUGAAGGACAGUGGGAAGUAGGAAGUAGGCAUUUACAUGUGGAAAAGUCUCGAGAUAGUUCCAUUCUGAAAAUAUAGCAAAGUAGAUCACUUGAAAGCUUUCUGUUACAAAACACUUAGAAAAGCGAUAUAAAAUAUAUCAAAACAUAUUUCUAAUGCAUAGCUGAGCCUCUAAUAAAUUAAGGAAAAUUCAAAUACAGAAAUAGGAGCCAGGUGUGGUGGCUCACACCUUUAAUCCCAGCAACUUGGGGGGCUGAGACAGGAAGAUCACUUGAGGCCAGGAGUUGGAGAUCAGCCUAGGCAACUUAGCAAGACCUCGUCUCCCAAAUAUUUUAUAAUUAGCCAGGCAUGGUGGCAUGUGCCUGUAGUUCCAACUAUUUGGGAGGCUGAGGCAGGAGGAUCACUGGAGCCAAGGAGGUCGACGCUGCAGUGAGCUUUGAUCACAUCACU